CCUACGGGUGGCUGCAGUGAGGAAUAUUGGUCAAUGGGCGCGAGCCUGAACCAGCCAAGUCGCGUGAGGGAAGACGGUCCUAUGGAUUGUAAACCUCUUUUGUCGGGGAGCAAAAGACGCCACGCGUGGCGUUCCGCGAGUACCUGAUGAAAAAGCAUCGGCUAACUCCGUGCCAGCAGCCGCGGUAAUACGGAGGAUUCAAGCGUUAUCCGGAUUUAUUGGGUUUAAAGGGUGCGUAGGCGGGUCGUUAAGUUAGAGGUGAAAUUCCGGGGCUCAACCCCGGCACUGCCUGUGAUACUGGCGGGCUAGAGUUUAGUUGAGGUAGGCGGAAUGUAUGGUGUAGCGGUGAAAUGCAUAGAGAUCAUACAGAACACCGAUUGCGAAGGCAGCUUACCAAACUACGACUGACGUUGAGGCACGAAAGCGUGGGGAGCAAACAGGAUUAGAUACCCGUGUAGUC
Molecule: ribosomal RNA, 460 nt
Filed under: uncultured bacterium
Lineage: Bacteria
Description: partial 16S ribosomal RNA
Rfam family: Bacterial small subunit ribosomal RNA
Source: RNAcentral